Molecule: long non-coding RNA, 621 nt
Filed under: Helianthus annuus (common sunflower)
Lineage: Eukaryota; Viridiplantae; Streptophyta; Magnoliopsida; Asterales; Asteraceae
Description: hypothetical non coding rna
Source: RNAcentral
GAAUAAAAGGAUCCCUUUCGCUUUAUUUUCUCUCCCUUUUCCCUGAUAUUUCGGUUUGACGGCUGCUACCCUCUUUCAACCCCGGUGCUUCAAUCGAACGAGCUCUAUUAUUCUCGUGCAUCAUUAUGUCGGACGAGGAACCGGUUGACCAGAAGAAGUACUUUGAAGAGUUGUGCAAGCCUAAAUGUGUUAGAGCUUGGCUUGACUAUCAGGGCUGUGUGAAAAGGGUUCAGGCUGAUGAAACGGGCCACAAACAUUGCACUGGACAAUACUUUGAUUACUGGCACUGCGUUGACAAAUGCGUUGCACCUAGGCUGUUUGCAAAACUGAAGUAAUAUACACAUCUAUGGAUACCAUGGAUGAUAUGGAGAGAUUAGCAGUCUGAUUUUGUUUUCAAUGAAACUAAUUUUGGUAUACCUAUACCUUGAGUGGAUCAUAAUAAGGAGUUGUGUCUAAAUUGGCAUGAAUUUCGAACAUUUAUGGUGUUUUAAUGGAUGUUUUUUCAUUGUGAAAAUAGACCUUUAAUUUCAAGCUUGUCCAUUUUGUGUCUUCUCUGUUAACCAACAAUUGUUUUUCUUUUCAUUUUGUGGUGAUGUUUAUAAAUAAUUGAAAACAAGUAGU